This 85-nucleotide transfer RNA is filed under the name Felis catus (domestic cat). It matches the Rfam family "tRNA". Rfam says of the family: Transfer RNA (tRNA) molecules are approximately 80 nucleotides in length. Their secondary structure includes four short double-helical elements and three loops (D, anti-codon, and T loops). The record is from Rfam by way of RNAcentral. Lineage: Eukaryota; Metazoa; Chordata; Mammalia; Carnivora; Felidae.
GCCCGGGUGGCUCAGUCGGUUGAGCGUCUGACUUCGGCUCAGGUCAUGAUCUCACAGCUCGUGAGUUCGAGCCCCACAUCGGGCU